GGAAUGAGAGGCCGCCUCACCCUCUCAUCUACAACUCUGUCACUCGCUCAGGUCCGAGUGACAGACUGAUGGACGUCAGCUGCUUUUUAAAUGGCAAGGGGAGGAGGCGCGUGUGAGGGCAUUCGUACCAGUGCUUCAGACAUUCUCCUUUAGCCUGGAUGCCCAGCUGACAUCCUCCUGCAGUAUGGAUAUGAAGAACACAACAAUCAUCCUUAAACAACAUUUGCUUUUCAUGGAUUAAAGCUAAGUGUGGUCAAAGUAGACUAAACCGAGACCAAGACAAGACCAAGACCAGAGGGUAUCGAGACCAAGACAAGACCACGUAAAAGUCAAAGAUGUCGUCUGGAUGGAGAGAUGAUUCAUAUCCACACUUUCUUACCAAUGAAAUCAUUUGACUUGCCCAUGUCAUAGUCCCAGACUGAGAUUUCCAGGGUUUUCUUGGCGAGGUCAGCAUGUUUUAUUUCAUAGCUGAACUCCUGAAAAAACAGUGAUGAGUUUAUUAUCAAAUCGAUGAAAACGUGUAAAUGAAAAUGAACUGAAGCAGCGAACAACGAGCACUGACCUCAUUAAACUCUGGAUUGAGGGUCUUC
Solea senegalensis (Senegalese sole) is the source of this 590-nucleotide long non-coding RNA. RefSeq lists it as uncharacterized. The transcript is spliced from 2 exons. The record is from RefSeq and is a predicted model, not a curated record. Lineage: Eukaryota; Metazoa; Chordata; Actinopteri; Pleuronectiformes; Soleidae.